This 539-nucleotide ribosomal RNA is filed under the name uncultured archaeon. RNAcentral's name for it is "bacterial SSU rRNA". It matches the Rfam family "Archaeal small subunit ribosomal RNA", at positions 926 to 1478 of the family's 1478-position model. The record is from RNAcentral.
CUCACCGGGAACGACAGCAAUAUGUAGGCCAGGAUGAAGACCUGACCUGAAUCGCUGAGAGGAGGUGCAUGGCCGUCGCCAGUUCGUACUGUGAAGCAUCCUGUUAAGUCAGGCAACGAGCGAGACCCGUGCCCACUGUUACCAGCAUAUCCUCCGGGAUGAUGGGUACUCUGUGGGGACCGCUGAUGUUAAAUCAGAGGAAGGUGCGGGCUACGGUAGGUCAGUAUGCCCCGAAUUUCCCGGGCUACACGCGGGCUACAAUGAAUGGGACAAUGGGCCCCUACCCUGAAAAGGGUUGGUAAUCUCACAAACCCAUCCGUAGUUCGGAUUGAGGGCUGUAACUCGCCCUCAUGAAGCUGGAAUCCGUAGUAAUCGCGUUUCAAUAUAGCGCGGUGAAUACGUCCCUGCUCCUUGCACACACCGCCCGUCAAACCACCCGAGUGAGGUAUGGGUAAGGGCACGAACUCUGUGUCGUGUUCGAACCUGUGCUUUGCAAGGGGGGUUAAGUCGUAAAAAGGUAACCAAGGGCGAAUUCCAGC